GACGAACGCUGGCGGCGUGCCUAAUACAUGCAAGUAGAACGCUGAAGGAGGAGCUUGCUUCUCUGGAUGAGUUGCGAACGGGCGAGUAACGCGUAGGUAACCUGCCUGGUAGCGGGGGAUAACUAUUGGAAACGAUAGCUAAUACCGCAUAAGAGUAGAUGUUGCAUGACAUUUGCUUAAAAGGUGCAAUUGCAUCACUACCAGAUGGACCUGCGUUGUAUUAGCUAGUUGGUGGGGUAACGGCUCACCAAGGCGACGAUACAUAGCCGACCUGAGAGGGUGAGCGGCCACACUGGGACUGAGACACGGCCCAGACUCCUACGGGAGGCAGAAGAAGGGAAUCUUCGGCAAUGGACGGAAGUCUGACCGAGCAACGCCGCGUGAGUGAAGAAGGGUUUCGGAUCGUAAAGCUCGGUUGUAAGAGAAGAACGAGUGUGAGAGUGGAAAGUUCACACUGUGACGGUAACUUACCAGAAAGGGACGGCUAACUACGUG
RNAcentral lists this ribosomal RNA (495 nucleotides) under uncultured bacterium. RNAcentral describes it as "partial 16S ribosomal RNA". It matches the Rfam family "Bacterial small subunit ribosomal RNA", at positions 28 to 507 of the family's 1533-position model. The record is from RNAcentral.